RNAcentral lists this long non-coding RNA (209 nucleotides) under Elaeis guineensis (African oil palm). RNAcentral describes it as "long non-coding RNA (EGUI_LNC011949)". The record is from RNAcentral. Lineage: Eukaryota; Viridiplantae; Streptophyta; Magnoliopsida; Arecales; Arecaceae.
UUCUUUCUAUUUCUCUAUCUUUCUCUCUUGUUCUCCUUCUGAUUUAUUUUCUUUCCAUAUCGAUUCGUACCAAUCCGAUCUGAUAUGGAUUCAUAUCGAUCAAUACUACUAAACGGAUCGAUGGCAUGAAUUUUGAUGCUGAGUCCGUGAAUCUUAGAUGCAGCUUUUACGUGUGUCCACCAAAAGAAAGUAGUCCAGAGAGAAGUCCC